GAUGAACGCUGGCGGCGUGCUUAACACAUGCAAGUCGAACGAACCUUCGGGUUAGUGGCGGACGGGUGAGUAACGCGUGAGAAUCUGCCCUCAGGAGGGGGAUAACGGCUGGAAACGGCCGCUAAUACCCCAUAUGCCGCAAGGUGAAAUGAAAUUCGCCUGAGGAUGAGCUCGCGUCUGAUUAGCUAGUUGGUGGGGUAAGAGCCUACCAAGGCAUCGAUCAGUAGCUGGUCUGAGAGGAUGAUCAGCCACACUGGGACUGAGACACGGCCCAGACUCCUACGGGAGGCAGCAGUGGGGAAUUUUCCGCAAUGGGCGAAAGCCUGACGGAGCAACGCCGCGUGAGGGAUGAAGGCCUCUGGGCUGUAAACCUCUUUUAUCAAGGAAGAAGAUCUGACGGUACUUGAUGAAUAAGCCACGGCUAAUUCCGU
Molecule: ribosomal RNA, 431 nt
Filed under: uncultured cyanobacterium
Lineage: Bacteria; Bacillati; Cyanobacteriota
Description: bacterial SSU rRNA
Rfam family: Bacterial small subunit ribosomal RNA
Source: RNAcentral